Long non-coding RNA from Quercus lobata, 678 nucleotides. RefSeq lists it as uncharacterized. The transcript has 3 exons. The record is from RefSeq and is a predicted model, not a curated record. NCBI's taxonomy places the organism in Eukaryota, Viridiplantae, Streptophyta, Magnoliopsida, Fagales, Fagaceae.
CAAGGAUGGUACUAUUGGGGCAUAGUGUUAAGACUCAAACCUGAGACUCCUUCCCCGUUCUGCUCUUGUUGCCUUCUCUGCUGAGCUAUGACAGCAUUGGCUGAGAGGCAUGGUUUUAGUACCAAUACUUCACAGAAAUUUUGCCUGCUCUUCAUAGUUUGUCUGAAUACAUUUAUCUUGAACAAAAAUGUGGUUAAUGCUUGACCAGUGACUGCAAAUUCUGAAGUUGAAUUUUUAUAGCUGAUUUUCCACCAUGUUCAUCUGGAAAAUAUAAAAGAAAAUGGGCACGCCACCCAGAAUAAGUGUGUAGAAAGGAAGAUGUACUGAUCCAAACUUAUCUUGCUAGGUAAACACUACUCACACGGUCACACCUAUGGUAAAUUGAACCGGUAACCUUAACCUCCACCCCUUAUUCAUGAGGACAGGAGAUGUCAUUUGGUUCAAAGACCAUUGGUUGAUAAGGGAAUAAGCUCAGAAGUGGUUCGUUCUAUCCUUGCAGAGCGGGCAAACUUGCCUUCUCUAGCAGCAAAGUCAGCAAAUAAGAUGGCAUCCUUGUCAAGAGGCAAUCUUUUUCCAAAGGUUGUUGAAGCAUAUUCUCGUCCAACAAGAAUUGUCCGUGGAAAGGAAGUGGACCCUGAUAUGGAGGUACCUUUUUCUUUCUACUAUAGAAGCCUUAUC